RNA transcript from Neogale vison (American mink), 6507 nucleotides. It is a transcript of the gene named XK related 4, with no coding region annotated. The transcript is spliced from 4 exons. The record is from RefSeq and is a predicted model, not a curated record. Lineage: Eukaryota; Metazoa; Chordata; Mammalia; Carnivora; Mustelidae.
AUGGCCGCUAAGUCAGACGGGAGGCUGAAAAUGAAGAAGAGCAGCGACGUGGCGUUCACCCCGCUGCAGAACUCGGACCACUCGGGCUCGGUGCAGGGAUUGGCUCCGGGCUUGCCGUCGGGUUCGGGAGCCGAGGACGAGGAGGCGGCCGGGGGCGGCUGCUGCCCGGACGGCGGCGGCUGCUCACGCUGCUGCUGCUGCUGCGCUGGGAGCGGCGGCUCGGGCGGCGGCUCCGGGGGCUUGGGCGGCCCGGGCGGCGGCGUUGGCGGCCCGGGCAGCAGCGGGGCGGGCUCGGCGGCGCUGUGCCUGCGCCUGGGCAGGGAGCAGCGGCGCUACUCGCUGUGGGACUGCCUCUGGAUCCUGGCCGCGGUGGCCGUGUACUUCGCGGACGUGGGCACGGACAUCUGGCUUGCCGUGGACUACUACUUGCGCGGCCAGCGCUGGUGGUUCGGGCUCACGCUCUUCUUCGUGGUGCUCGGCUCGCUCUCCGUGCAAGUGUUCAGCUUCCGCUGGUUUGUGCACGAUUUCAGCACCGAGGACAGCGCCACGACCGCAGCUGCCUCCACGCAGCCUGGAGCCGAUUGCAAGACGGUGGCCAGCAGUGGGUCUGCAGCCGCGGAAGGCGAGGCUCGUCCUUCCACGCCGCAAAGGCAAGCAUCCAACGCCAGUAAGAGCAACAUCGCCGCCACCAACAGCGGCAGCAACAGUAGCGGGGCCACCCGGGCCAGCGGCAAACACAGGUCUGCGUCCUGCUCCUUCUGCAUCUGGCUCCUGCAGUCACUCAUCCACAUCUUGCAGCUCGGGCAAAUCUGGAGAUAUUUCCACACCAUCUACUUAGGCAUUCGAAGUCGACAGAGUGGGGAGAAUGACCGGUGGAGGUUUUACUGGAAAAUGGUGUAUGAGUAUGCAGAUGUGAGUAUGCUGCACUUGCUAGCCACCUUUCUGGAAAGUGCGCCACAGCUGGUCCUGCAGCUCUGCAUUAUCGUACAGACUCAUAGCUUACAGGCCCUCCAAGGUUUCACAGCAGCAGCCUCCCUUGUGUCUUUGGCUUGGGCCUUGGCCUCCUACCAGAAGGCCCUCCGGGACUCUCGAGAUGACAAGAAGCCUAUCAGCUACAUGGCAGUUGUCAUCCAGUUCUGCUGGCACUUCUUUACCAUUGCCGCCAGAGUCAUCACCUUCGCCCUCUUUGCCUCGGUUUUCCAGCUGUACUUUGGGAUCUUCAUCGUCCUCCACUGGUGCAUCAUGACCUUCUGGAUCGUCCACUGUGAGACAGAAUUCUGCAUCACCAAAUGGGAAGAGAUUGUGUUCGACAUGGUGGUGGGGAUCAUCUACAUCUUCAGCUGGUUCAACGUCAAGGAAGGCAGGACACGCUGCAGGCUCUUCAUUUACUAUUUUGUGAUCCUAUUGGAAAAUACAGCCUUGAGUGCCCUCUGGUACCUCUACAAGGCUCCCCAGAUUGCAGAUGCGUUUGCCAUCCCAGCGCUGUGUGUGGUAUUCAGCAGCUUUUUAACUGGCGUCGUUUUUAUGCUGAUGUACUAUGCCUUCUUUCACCCCAAUGGACCCCGAUUUGGGCAGUCACCAAGUUGUGCUUGUGAGGACCCAGUCGCUGCCUUCACUCUGCCUCCAGAAGUGGCCACGAGCACACUCCGGUCCAUCUCUAACAACCGCAGCGUCGCCAGCGACCGCGACCAGAAAUUCGCAGAGCGGGAUGGGUGCGUACCUGUCUUUCAGGUGAGGCCCACUGCCCCGUCUACACCAUCCUCUCGCCCACCACGGAUUGAAGAAUCUGUCAUUAAAAUUGACCUGUUUAGGAAUAGGUACCCGGCGUGGGAGAGACACGUUUUGGACCGAAGCCUUCGAAAGGCCAUUCUAGCCUUUGAAUGUUCCCCGUCUCCUCCAAGGCUGCAGUACAAAGAUGAUGCCCUUAUUCAGGAGCGGUUGGAAUAUGAAACCACUUUAUAAAAUAGAAGGCCUCGGAGGAGCCACAACCUCCAGUGAAGGGGUAACAGCAGGGCCGUGGCAAUAAUGAAACUGUCCUAGAAUAGGGCAACGGGCUGUAAUGUGCUUCGUCGGACCCUCCGUCAGCUGACCACCUGCUGCUGGUCUCCUUUCAAAAGAGCAGCUGAAGGGAAAGAAUCGAACCGAACCGUGCCUGCUCAGUAGGACUCCUUGUUGCUACCAGCCCCUCCUGCCCACUUUUAGCGUGUCCACCAGAGGGUACUAUGAGCACGGAAAACAUUGUCUCCAAUCAAUAGGUUGUUUUGAUGGAGUUAACUGAUCUUUGCAUAAAAAUAUAUUCAAUCACAUACACACAUACACACACACACAUACACACACAUGCUAACACACACGGCACCAGUCCUCUGUCAAAAUAGGUUAGAUGAUUUCUUUUCUAGAUGCAAAGCUCUGAUUCUGAAUAUAAAAACAAAGAGAGAGAGAAUAUAUCCUUCAAGACUCCAGAAAAACAAAACAAAACAAAACAAAACAAAAAAUAGUACUACUUAGAAAAGAAUUUCAUAGACCAUUCUCAUUUGGAAAUCACUACCAUGCGUGCAAAUCCUACCACAGACAGCAAACUCAACUGUCGUUUACAUAUGUAUUCGAAUCAAUGGAAUGGUUCAUUUUCAACACAUUUCAGGAUUUGUUUUUUAUUUUAAAUUUCAGUCGAGAACAUCCUUUCUGACAGAAAUCCUAUGCAGCACAUCUAUGGCUUUCGACAAGACCAAGGAGCUCAGUGAUUUCAUGAUGUAAAUUAAAUGAAAAUCAUGGUUCAGUAUUCAGUUGCAAAAAUUUAAUAAGUACAUGAAGAGGAAGCAGGGAAACAAGGCAAAAAUGAGCAUCUGACUUCCCAGCCUGCCGCAGUUCACAGAGGCAAGGAGGUGCAGAGCGGCAGGAGAGAAACAUGCUGAACUGGGUGUUUCGAGACGCAGAAAAGCGUGGCUCUGUGUGACCGCUACGGAGCAUGCCAUGCCACACCCUCCUAGUGCCAAACAGCAUCCAACCACAGGACUGACGUGGAAGUCCCAAACACCAGAGAAUGAGCGGCAUGAGCCCCCCAAACGUGGACGUGAGAGCACACCAUCACAUUCCCCAUUGUGUACAGACUACCCCCCCAAUCCAAGGUCAAAGUGAUGUGUCUUUUAGAGGCUUUGGGACACUUUUUAGUAAGUAUAAGCAGACAAUGCAGUGAAUAUGCUAUGAGAAAACCUUCCAAACUGAUUGAGGGCUUAUCACUAGAUCCAGCUAAGAUUUGUAUUUGAACCAUUUGUAAAGUUGCACUCUUACAACAAACUUCUGGGUUUUAAAUACCUCCGUACAGCAAGUAAACGUUCCCUGCUUUCUGUUCCCAGUGUCCUCGGUCAUGGUGCUUUUUGUUGCAUUAAAAGUGCCGGUCAAACUUUGAUAGUAUUUUUUUAUAGUUGGUGCAGAGUGGAAUAACUCAUGGAUUAUUUCAAUAUUUUUGUAAUAAAAAUAUAGGGUAUACAUAUAGGCAUCAUCACCUUUUUUAUAGACCUGGAAUUGUUUAAAAUACUUUAAGCAUCAUAAUUACUUGGGAUGUCAGAAACUGAUCCACAAAUUUCGUCAGCCUGCCUCAGCACAUUGAGAACGCUUGUGUCUUGCAAGAUCACCCAAUUUUGCAAUGUUGGUGCCCCCAGGAACCUGGCCAGGGGUGCUAUCAGAAUAUCAGGUGACAAGAGAAUCAGCUUAACUAGAAAGGGCUUGUCAAGACUGGCCAAUGUUUCCCAGGAUGUGAAAGCUAUAAAUGAUUACUUUCAUCCAUCCAUUCUCACAAAUCUGACCACAGUGGAAGAUGUCUUAAACUUCCUUCCCUGGUUUUAUAUUAACCCAACUUAUAUAUUAACUAUUAGUCAAGUCACUAAAAAAAAAAAAAAAAAAAAAAAGAUGAGAGAGAGGGAGAGAAGAGAAAAAGUCCGUUUAGCUUAAUUAUUCGGUUAUUUGGAAUGUACAAUCCACUUAAAUUAGUCAUGUUCAAUAGCCACCUGCUGUAUGCUGUAGUGGGUAUGUCAUAGAGACUGCUGUCCCCGUCACAUCCACAGGAAAUGGCAGAGGGCUCAACCUAUGACUUCCUUUGGUACAAAGCCCCAGAGCAAUAUUUUAAAAAUAGCUGUUUUUUUUUUUUUUAAUCAGUAGACAUAUUUUCCUAGUACUCCAUGAUUUGAUCCUCCAAGCAAGAUUUCCACUAAAAAAUAAUAACCUCUUGUUCGGAUGUGAAAAGAUUGCCUAGUCGCCAGUAGAGGCCCAGGAAGAUGCUCUUCUUGUCAGCAAUUGGUGAAAACAUUGCACCCCCAUUGUAGAAGGAAAAAAAUGAUUAUAUUGGCAAAAAUUCUUCACUUUUGUGCAGGACCAUGAGUUAUUAGCUUCCUUAUUUCCAAGAAAACUUUUAAUCGAUGAUCUUUGGAAAUUGAAUGGCUCAGUUGAACUAUACCUUUGAUUCCAUGAGUAAAUACCAGAUUACAGAUAGAGUGAUCGAUCAACACAAACUCAGCAGGCCCUACCAUGCCUCAAUCAUAAACAUCUUGGAACUUGUCAAGCUUACUGAAGGUGAUUUGCGUUAAUUAAUGCAACAGAGCCUUUAAUCUUGCAAAUUCUUGACUUGUAAUAUUGUAGCCAAGCUACCGCGAGGGAAAAUUAAUCAGUUAGUGGGAAGGAGCCCUCGUUCCGUGCUGAGCUGUACCCAGGCCUGAAGAGAAAGACCUCUGUGAAGUAGAGCACUAAUGAAUUCGUGCUACCUGCUUCCUCAUCAUUCAUGCUAUGAAUAUUCAUCUACUUCAUUUGUUUUUGACAGUAAGCGCUGCUUUGAAAGAAAAAAAAACGUCAAUGGAUUCCUGGGGCUUGCAUAGCUCAGAGAAUAGGUACUGGGUCUUGGAGAAUCCUUAAAUGAAUACAAAUCUACUUGUUUGGAAAUGAAAAAAAAAAAAAAAGUCAUUGUUAUCUCUUUAAUGAUUGAUCUGUCUGAGUACCGUGGCUGCCCUCACUUGGUUUCUUGAGAGUACUGUUGUCAGCAUUGUAAUAACAAAUUUAUGAAAAUUGAAUCUGUAAUUCCAUUUCAGAGGUAAAAUCUGCAUGGAUGUAACUGUUAAGUAAUUUGAUACCCGCCUUCCUGCAAUUAACCUUGGACAAUUGGGUGGUGACAUUGCCGGUUUCAAACUGAGGUACCUAAGUUUAUGGUAUUGGCCCUCCUGUUGUUUCUGAGUCCUGACCAAACGUCAGUUACAAACUCUGAGAUCAAGUAGAGAUUCUUAUUGCCUAAAUGUUUGUUUCAAAGUAAACUAAUAGUCUCAUAAUUUGAAAAAAUCAUGGUUCUUUCCCACUUGCUUCUCUGUUUUCCAAGAAAGAUUUGAGUUGCAAGAUAAGAAUGAAUAUACUUCACAUCAUUGUCUCAGAGUUUGCAAGUAUCAGGCUUCCCUAUGUUAUAAUAAAGUUUCUGUCUAACCUUCUAGUAGAACAAUUUCAGGAAUGAACCCUAAAUCAAUGAGUGAAAGUCAUCAGGUUUAUCCAAAGAGCAACCUAGCAGAAAAAUUUUAGAAAAGAAGCAGGGAUCCUUUUUCUUGGGUUUCAAAGAUGUUUCUCCUUGCUAAGUGACCAUCUUAGUGAUUUGAGAGCUACUGAAUGGUAGUCCCAGUUAGAAGUGUCAGUAUUGUGCUGCAUACUCUAUUCUGUCAAAGUCAUUUUUCAGAACUAACUCUUGGCACCAGCACUGAAAUUUAAUGGCAAAAACUGGCCUACUACCAUGUAAUUUAUUUUCAAUUGCAAGGCAAUGAAAACUAAUAAGUUGAAGAAAAUUUUAAUUUCCUGAACUCCAAAGCCAAAAUGGGCACAAAGACACUCCGUAACAUACAAUGAGCUGGUUGACUGUGGGGACGCAGGGGCAAUAAACAAUCCUCUUAAGCACGGCUCAUGAGUGAGAGGCUAGAAGCUGUGUUGGGACAGAAGGUGAUUGAAGAGGAUGUCUACCAGUUGCUCAUCAGGAAUAUCUGCCUUUUUAUAGAGCAGAGGUUCAAAGUAGCCCCUGCCAUUCCCUAACUAUGAGGAUAGAUACAUCCAUAUAUAAAGGGCCAAGUCAGAAGACAGAGAAGAUAUCAGGGCCUUCAUGUCUGAGAGUAACUCUGUCUUUAAGGAAACAGCUCUCCUUGGUCAUUGGCCCCUAUGCUGCUAGCUAGCUCUGCAUGCCAAGAACUUCUGAUGGACUACAAGAUGAGAUAUUUAAAGGUAUCGUAAGUAUUCCUGCUUGUAGAACAUGAACCACUGAAUUAGCCCUCCUUUUCAACAGCAACCAGAUUCAGGGUUACUAUGGCCUUACUCAUCAUCCCAUUGUAAAUAUAUCAUGACAUCAUGAUAGCCUCUGUGUUCAAAUUCACUAAACCAGGUUUACAUGUCCUAGGUCUGUGUAUCUAUCCCCAAUUUGGAAAAAAAUAAUUUUUUGAGAAUGAUCUUUACAAUAAUGGAAGUGAAAAAAAAAAGUGGACAGUUGAGUAAUUUUUCACC